RNAcentral lists this ribosomal RNA (253 nucleotides) under uncultured bacterium. RNAcentral describes it as "partial 16S ribosomal RNA". It matches the Rfam family "Bacterial small subunit ribosomal RNA", at positions 524 to 776 of the family's 1533-position model. The record is from RNAcentral.
UACAGAGGGUGCAAGCGUUGUCCGGAAUCACUGGGCGUAAAGGGCGCGUAGGCGGCGCAACAAGUCACUUGUGAAAUCUCCGGGCUUAACUCGGAGCGGCCAAGUGAUACUGUCGUGCUAGAGUGCGGAAGGGGCAACUGGAAUUCUCGGUGUAGCGGUGAAAUGCGUAGAUAUCGAGAGGAACACCUGCGGCGAAGGCGGGUUGCUGGGCCGACACUGACGCUGAGGCGCGAAAGCUAGGGGAGCGAACGGG